CAAUACUUUGGUGGCGACCGGCGCACGGGUGCGUAACGCGUAUGCAACCUACCUUUAACAGGGGCAUAACACUGAGAAAUUGGUACUAAUUCCCCAUAACAUUCGAGAAGGCAUCUUCUUGGGUUAAAAACUCCGGUGGUUAAAGAUGGGCAUGCGUUGUAUUAGCUAGUUGGUGAGGUAACGGCUCACCAAGGCAACGAUACAUAGGGGGACUGAGAGGUUAACCCCCCACAUUGGUACUGAGACACGGACCAAACUCCUACGGAAGGCAGCAG
Molecule: ribosomal RNA, 275 nt
Filed under: uncultured bacterium
Lineage: Bacteria
Description: partial 16S ribosomal RNA
Rfam family: Bacterial small subunit ribosomal RNA
Source: RNAcentral